CCCAAAGAGACCCCCUUAAUAAGAACGAGUAGAGUAGCUUAGACCAUGUUAUUAAGCCUUUACAUGUACAAGAAGAAAGCAUGAUCAUCCAUUUGAAUUAGUGAGAGACUGAAAAAACAUGCGUGUAACGAUGAAUCAACUUUCGUUAAAACACGCUUCAUGGCAUUACAAUGACUGGUAUAAAAUGUGUAUCCUGGAGACAAAAGUCAUACAACAAGCUAAGCAAUUAAGGUAUGUUGAGUCAUUUGAGCGUGCCAAUAUUGUUUUAAAUCAGUGACGCAAAUUAUCAGGCAGGCCAUCUAGUGGUGAGUUUACUCGU
This 319-nucleotide long non-coding RNA is filed under the name Mytilus galloprovincialis (Mediterranean mussel). Lineage: Eukaryota; Metazoa; Mollusca; Bivalvia; Mytilida; Mytilidae. The record is from RNAcentral.